This 2114-nucleotide unclassified non-coding RNA is filed under the name Leguminivora glycinivorella. RNAcentral describes it as "uncharacterized LOC125233369, transcript variant X4". Lineage: Eukaryota; Metazoa; Arthropoda; Insecta; Lepidoptera; Tortricidae. The record is from RNAcentral.
GGCAUUGCCAACAUAAAAGUGUUAUUCUGAUUUGUUAUCUGUAUUAUAAAUGUAGCCAAGGAUUGGUUACUUAUUUUUAUUAUCUGUGUCUCUCUCUUCUCCAACUAUGGCCGCCAUGAGCGGGUGCUAUUUUAUAUUGUAAUUGUGAAAGUACAAUAAACCAGUGAAAAUAACCAGCCUCCUUUUUAAUGAUACAGUCCAACUAAGUAAUAAACUCAACAUGGUCCUAUCUCACCGUUUAUUAACAUCGUGAGUACUUUCGCCGAGACACUUUCGCCCGGCAACAUGGUGGCACGCAUGGUGCACGAGCUGUCUACACGCCGUUCUCACAGCGGAAAGGAGCGCCAUUAAUAUUUAUAGUAGCCGAAUUGUCGCACGUUCAGUGCUAUACGUCGUGCACUCAACAUCGAGCUACACAACCCAAGAACUGACCUGGUGCACGUGCAGUCUGGACGCCGUGCACUCGGCCUCAUCGAGCUACGUGACGCUAUCACCGAAUUGGUGCACGUGCAGUCUGCACGCCGUGCACUGCGGACUCAUCGAGCUUCGAAUCGUAAUCCUCGACAAGAUACACGUGCAGUCUACACGCCGUGUGCUCGGAAAAUUUAAAUACGUGACGUGAUUAACAAACUGAUACACUUGCAGUCUACACGCAGUGUAGUCAUCAAUUUGAACUACGCAUCGUAAUUUAUUUAAGACCCGACCUGUGGUACGUGCAGUCCAGUACGCCGUGCUCUCAGCAGGAUAGGACAUGGAACUAACUGAUUUGCAUUGACUUUAAAUAUUUUAAUAGUGACAAUAGUGUUUUAUAGACAUUACAGUAAUUAAUUUAGAUUGUAUACUGUGUGCUGUGAAGCAAUGAGUAAUUUGAGUGGAAUGUCGCUGGCGGACCUUGUGGCCGGGAGGGGCUACGUUAAGGCCAAAAUUUCAAGAACUUGUAACUCAGUGAAGAUAACUGAUUCAAAUGAGAUGUUACUAAAUCAAAAAACUAGAUUAUUAGAAGCAUUCAAAGAAUAUGAAGAUUACAACAUAAACAUACUAAAGUUAGAAUCUAAUGACACUGAACCUAUUGAGGAAUAUGAAAAUAAAUACUUAAAUGCAUUAACAAUUAUUGACGAAGAAAUCAACAGACGCAAUGCCCACUCUCCCUCCACGAGGCCCGAACAGGUGGUAAAAUUGCACCAGCCUAUCAAGUUACCACCCAUAGACAUACCUUGCUUUAGUGGUAAGUUCUCAGAGUUUAUACCAUUUAUAAAUUUAUUUAAUUCCCUAAUUGACAAAAAUGAUGCACUUGACAGUGUACAGAAACUGUAUUAUUUGCGAUCACACCUAAAGGGUGAACCCUUAGACAUAAUAAAGAACCUGCCGCUAACUAAUACUAGUUAUAAUGAAGCAUUAACAAUAUUAAAUGAAAGAUAUAACAACAAACUAAAAAUCAUAAAUGAACAUAUUUGUGUAUUGCUUGACCUCAAGCCAUUAGUAAAAUCAACAUCAAGCAGCCUAAGAGAGUUUGUCUCAUCUAUUAAACAGCAACUAGCAGCUCUAGCCAAUCUAGAACCCUCAGUCAAAUAUUGGGAUGCUAUAAUAUUAUGUGUACUCUCCCGAAAACUAGAUGCCUACACAGCCAGAGCAUAUCACAUGGAGCGGGACGCUGACACAGACCCAACAAUGGAAGGCUUCCUUGACUACCUAGAGAGGCGUGCACUGGCCUUAGAAAAUGCUGAACCAGGGACAUCGGGACAACCUCGCUACUUGCCUGCUAAUAAGACUGUACUAAUAGCAACUGAAAAAACGCUGCAGUGUGAUUUAUGCAUUGAUACUAACGGGUCCAGCAUACCAGCCAUCGAGUCACCAGCAGGCGACUGGCAGCGAACAGGGGAAGAAUGCAGCUCGAUCGCAGUUUGAGCUGUCAACCCAGCCCACCAUAGUUAACACCCAAUUUGGUCACAUUAUCGGAGGUGGCCUACCACAUCUAGUAGCAUGCAAUAAGAUGCCUCCAGUUCAACUGCCUAUGGCUGCUGUGUCUACCUGCGCGUCACUGACUGUAAAGGUAAAACUAUAAUGCAUUUGCUCUGCUCUAAGUCCCGAAUCAAUUCGAUUAGCAAGAGUAAUAC